GGUUAUGGCUCUGUGGCAGAGCGCUUGCCUAGCAUGUGUGAGGCACUGGGUUCAAACCUCAGCACCA
RNAcentral lists this transfer RNA (67 nucleotides) under Marmota monax (woodchuck). Its description in RNAcentral is "tRNA.Ala". Lineage: Eukaryota; Metazoa; Chordata; Mammalia; Rodentia; Sciuridae. The record is from RNAcentral.